UCCCAUAUAGUGUAGAGGUUUAGCAUUCCGGAUUUUCAAGUCUCUACUUGGUACUUCCGGCGACCCGGGUUCGAACCCCGGUAUGGGAA
This is a non-coding RNA of Lasiosphaeria hispida, 89 nucleotides long. Lineage: Eukaryota; Fungi; Ascomycota; Sordariomycetes; Sordariales; Lasiosphaeriaceae. The record is from the annotation of a GenBank genome assembly.